RNAcentral lists this small RNA (2914 nucleotides) under Pan troglodytes (chimpanzee). RNAcentral describes it as "retained intron". Lineage: Eukaryota; Metazoa; Chordata; Mammalia; Primates; Hominidae. The record is from RNAcentral.
UUUCCGGGACGUUCGGAGGGUGGCCUCUCUCCCACCGGGUUCCGCAUACCCCAGGCCCCGGCCCGCAUCCAAGUGUCAGGUUGGAGCCGGGAAGCGGCCCUGGUGGUAGUGGCGGCGGGGGCAGGAUGAGCGCGGAGGCGGCGGACCGGGAGGCGGCCACCUCCAGCCGGCCCUGCACCCCGCCGCAGACCUGCUGGUUUGAGUUUCUGCUGGAGGAGUCACUGUUGGAGAAACAUCUGCGCAAGCCCUGCCCGGAUCCUGCACCAGUUCAACUUAUAGUUCAGUUUUUGGAACAGGCUUCCAAACCUUCAGUUAAUGAACAAAACCAAGUUCAACCUCCGCCUGAUAACAAGAGAAAUCGUAUUUUAAAACUACUUGCUCUUAAAGUUGCUGCACAUUUGAAGUGGGACUUAGACAUAUUAGAGAAAAGUUUGUCUGUUCCAGUAUUGAAUAUGCUACUAAAUGAACUACUCUGCAUCAGUAAAGUUCCUCCUGGGACAAAGCAUGUAGACAUGGAUCUGGCCACUUUACCUCCGACCACUGCCAUGGCUGUACUUCUCUAUAAUAGAUGGGCAAUUAGGACAAUUGUUCAAAGUAGUUUUCCAGUCAAACAGGCAAAACCCGGACCCCCUCAGUUAAGUGUUAUGAAUCAAAUGCAACAGGAAAAAGAGCUAACAGAAAACAUUUUGAAAGUGCUCAAAGAACAAGCUGCUGAUUCUAUUUUGGUACUAGAAGCAGCCCUAAAAUUAAACAAGGAUCUUUAUGUCCAUACGAUGAGAACCCUAGAUUUAUUGGCCAUGGAACCAGGCAUGGUAAAUGGAGAAACUGAGAGUUCUGCUGCUGGAUUGAAAGUCAAAACCGAAGAAAUGCAGUGCCAGGUGUGCUAUGAUUUGGGCGCAGCAUACUUCCAGCAAGGCUCCACAAAUUCAGCUGUCUAUGAAAAUGCCAGGGAAAAAUUUUUUAGAACCAAAGAACUAAUUGCAGAGAUAGGUUCAUUAUCUCUUCAUUGUACCAUAGAUGAGAAGCGGUUAGCUGGCUAUUGUCAAGCAUGUGAUGUUCUUGUACCUUCUUCUGAUAGUACAUCUCAACAGUUGACUCCAUAUAGUCAAGUCCAUAUUUGUUUGAGAUCUGGCAACUAUCAGGAGGUAAUACAGAUUUUCAUUGAAGACAACUUAACCUUGAGUUUACCUGUCCAGUUCCGACAGUCAGUCCUAAGAGAACUCUUUAAGAAAGCUCAACAGGGAAAUGAAGCUCUAGAUGAAAUCUGUUUUAAAGUUUGUGCCUGUAAUACAGUCCGUGAUAUACUGGAAGGCAGAACAAUUAGUGUUCAAUUUAACCAGCUAUUUCUUAGACCAAAUAAAGAGAAAAUAGACUUUCUUCUUGAGGUAUGUUCAAGAUCAGUAAAUUUAGAAAAAGCUUCAGAGUCUUUGAAAGGAAACAUGGCUGCUUUUCUAAAGAAUGUGUGUCUGGGGUUGGAAGAUCUGCAGUAUGUUUUCAUGAUUUCUUCACAUGAGCUUUUCAUUACAUUGUUGAAAGAUGAAGAACGAAAGCUACUUGUUGAUCAGAUGAGGAAGAGAUCCCCUAGAGUAAAUCUGUGCAUUAAACCUGUAACUUCAUUUUAUGAUAUCCCAGCUUCAGCAAGUGUCAACAUUGGUCAGUUAGAGCAUCAACUUAUAUUGUCAGUGGAUCCUUGGAGGAUUAGACAAAUUUUAAUUGAAUUACAUGGUAUGACUUCAGAGCGCCAGUUCUGGACAGUGUCUAAUAAGUGGGAAGUACCUUCUGUCUAUAGUGGUGUUAUCCUGGGAAUUAAAGACAAUUUAACAAGAGAUUUGGUUUAUAUUCUUAUGGCCAAAGGUUUGCACUGCAGUACUGUUAAGGACUUUUCCCAUGCUAAACAGCUCUUUGCUGCUUGUUUGGAGUUGGUAACAGAGUUCUCACCGAAGCUUCGUCAGGUCAUGCUGAAUGAGAUGUUGCUUUUGGAUAUUCAUACACAUGAAGCUGGGACAGGGCAGGCAGGAGAGAGACCGCCAUCCGACCUUAUAAGUAGAGUACGAGGCUAUCUGGAAAUGAGGCUUCCUGAUAUUCCUCUUCGUCAAGUUAUAGCUGAGGAAUGUGUUGCCUUUAUGUUAAACUGGAGAGAAAAUGAAUACCUUACACUCCAAGUUCCUGCAUUUUUGCUUCAGAGUAAUCCAUAUGUAAAGGUAGUUAAUGUUUAAAUAAAAGGAUUGUUAGGAUGGUAUUAUUAUACUUGUUUCUUUAACUUUAUACUACUUUGGGAACUUGUCUAAUUUCUGUGAUACAAAUGAUUGGACAAAUGCUUGUUGAUUUGUAGUUAAAGGAUAGUUUUUGAUAAUUCAUGCACUUGACCUUGUUCUAAUAUUUCUUUCUAAUGCCCUGUAAUUCAUGAGCAUGUAGUCACAGAUUAUUUAGUUAACAGAUAACACAUUGGUGUAAUCCUAAGUAAUGAGGGAUUCGCUUUCUUUGCUUUGGUUGCUCUAAUCACACUCUAGAACUGAUGGAGUCCGUCAGGGAUGCACUUCUCCUUGUUUCCAUUUGAACACUUUAUUCUUCUUUAGAAUUUUAUCCUUCUAAGUUUGCUAUGUCUGAAUCUCCAAUAGGUUUGCUAUUAGUAAUUAUUCCCCUAGUGAAAGAAUUUAUUCAGUAAAUUGGCACUAAGUUAUUUUGUUGUCUUAAUUAUAUCCUUUGCAACCUAAAAUGCUUCUGAGUACAGAAAAUAUCAAAACUAAUAAGAAACUGGAGGUUUUUUCUAAGAUUAUAUCUUUCAUGUGUUAAUAUUAUACACACUCUGAGUAAGUAGUGGGUUUUUCUCACUUUCUGGUUUUACAGUUAAAAAAAAAACAAAGUAGGCUGGGCGCAGUGGCUCACGCCUGUAAUCCCAGCACUUUGGGAGGCC